Small nucleolar RNA from Psammomys obesus (fat sand rat), 142 nucleotides. RefSeq annotates it as small nucleolar RNA SNORA48. The transcript has a single exon. The record is from RefSeq and is a predicted model, not a curated record. NCBI's taxonomy places the organism in Eukaryota, Metazoa, Chordata, Mammalia, Rodentia, Muridae.
CCCCCUUGUAAUAGGCAAAGAGUCAACUGUUGGUGGUGUUGUUCUUAUAUCAGUCAGGGGCAGAGCAGAUGGCUGUCCUCUGUUCAUUCUAGCGUGAUGCCUGGCUUGCUGGCCAAAGCUGUUUGAUUCCUAGAAAACGUAA